GGGUGCUUAGCUCAGCUGGGAGAGCGUCGCCCUUACAAGGCGAAGGUCGUGGGUUCGAUCCCCUCAGCACCCA
RNAcentral lists this transfer RNA (73 nucleotides) under Gammaproteobacteria bacterium RIFCSPHIGHO2_12_FULL_37_34. Its description in RNAcentral is "tRNA-Val". It matches the Rfam family "tRNA". Rfam says of the family: Transfer RNA (tRNA) molecules are approximately 80 nucleotides in length. Their secondary structure includes four short double-helical elements and three loops (D, anti-codon, and T loops). Lineage: Bacteria; Pseudomonadati; Pseudomonadota; Gammaproteobacteria. The record is from RNAcentral.